This is a long non-coding RNA of Neomonachus schauinslandi (Hawaiian monk seal), 442 nucleotides long. RefSeq lists it as uncharacterized. Lineage: Eukaryota; Metazoa; Chordata; Mammalia; Carnivora; Phocidae. The transcript has 4 exons. The record is from RefSeq and is a predicted model, not a curated record.
GCUGCAGCUCGGGCAGCCCAUCAGCGCCGUGGCAGGCCUCCAGGCAGACGGGCACACGAUCGCCUUCCUGGGGGACACCCAGGGUCAGCUGCAUAAGGUCUUUCUCAAUGGCUCCCAAGGCCAGGUGUACCACUCCCAGCAAGUGGGGCCUCUGGGCUCAGCCAUCAGCCCAGACCUGCUGGUGGACAGCAGCGGCAGCCACCUCUAUGUCCUGACUGCCCAGCAGGUGGACCGGGUACCCGUGGCAGCCUGCCCCCAGUUCCCUGACUGUACCAGCUGCCUUCAGGCCCGGGACCCACUGUGUGGCUGGUGCGUCCUCCAGGGCAGGUGCACCCGCAAGGGCCAAUGUGGGCGGGCCGCCCAGGCCAACCAGUGGCUGUGGAGCUAUGAGGACAGCCACUGCCCGCACGUGCAGAGCCUGCUGCCGGCCCAGCGCCCCCGC